UGCCCAGAAAUAGAAGCGGAUACUCAGCAUGUGUUGAUAGGAGUUGUCCUUUCGUAAUCUCUUGCUGGUAUCAGGUUAAAAACGGGUUUAACCUGAUACCAAACUCUUUGUCGGGCAUGGUGGAUUUAAUGUCUGCCACCGAGGUAGAGGAAAGAUAUAAAUCGUCGAUAGCAGUAAGUGCUUGGUUGAUUUGGAAUGGAAUAAAUGAAAGAGGCUUUCAGAAU
RNAcentral lists this long non-coding RNA (224 nucleotides) under Elaeis guineensis (African oil palm). RNAcentral describes it as "long non-coding RNA (EGUI_LNC021955)". The record is from RNAcentral. Lineage: Eukaryota; Viridiplantae; Streptophyta; Magnoliopsida; Arecales; Arecaceae.